AUGUGCCCCAGAGCGCACGGCGGCGCCGCGAUGGUGAGAGCGAGAGCGAGCAGUGCUGCUGGCGCGCACUCGUUUGCGGAGGAGGAGUACAUCGACCUGGAUCUCAGCUCCUGCGGGGAGUACGAGUUCCGGGUGUGCCGGGGCAAACCGGCGGCGCCCUGCCCGGACGAGCCGGCCUGGCGGGCCAGGCAGCGCAAGGACAAGGUGGCGCCGAGGCCGGGGGGCAGGCUGCUUGACGCGGACGCCGGCGCCACAGGCGGCUGCGGCAGAAGGGGCACCGCCACGGUCGCGCCAUUGCAGCACUCCUCGCAUGCUCCACCGCACGCGGGCCGGCGCAGGAAGCCCGGCAAGGCCAUGCAGGCGAGGCUGCAGGCGUCGCGGGCCUUCCUCCGGUCCCUGUUCGCCAGGACCUGGUGCUCCGACGAGCGGUGCCGCGGCGCUCGGUCCGGGUCCGGGAGCAGGGCCGCGCAUGACAGGGACAAGGGCGUCGGCGUCAGCGGCAAGUCGGCGUUUGGGCAAAUCAACAAGAGCUACGUGAGCGGCAGCGCGGCCCCGACGACGCUGAGGAGCAGCAUUGAGCGGGAGAAGCUGAUGGAGGAGGAGGAGCACGUCCGGCAACGCAAGUCCUUCUCCGGCGUGAUCAAGUGGCGACCGACGACGGCGGCGUCGUCGGUGCGGAGGAACUCGUGCGGGAGCGCCCCGGCCCUGAAGAGGAGCAGCAGCUGCCGGUCGGAGUCGGAGGGGCUGAUCCAGGGCGCCAUCGCCUACUGCAAGCGGUCGCAGCAGCAGCGCGUGCUCCUCGCCAGGAAGAGCGUCAGCGACGCCGCCCUCUGCUCCUUCCGUGCCCCCUCCUAG
This 855-nucleotide ribosomal RNA is filed under the name Triticum aestivum (bread wheat). Its description in RNAcentral is "partial small subunit ribosomal RNA". Lineage: Eukaryota; Viridiplantae; Streptophyta; Magnoliopsida; Poales; Poaceae. The record is from RNAcentral.